CGUGUAGGCGGUUGGUCAAGUCGGGUGUGAAAGCCUGGGGCUCAGCCCCAGAAGUGCAUCCGAAACUAGCCAGCUGGAGCGCGAUAGAGGAGGGUGGAAUUCCUGGUGUAGCGGUGAAAUGCGUAGAUAUCAGGAGGAACACCGGCGGCGAAGGCGGCCCUCUGGAUCGUUGCUGACGCUGAGACGCGAAAGCGUGGGGAGCAAACAGGAUUAGAUACCUGGUAGUCCACGCCUUAAACGAUGGGUACUAGGUGUUCGGGGUGUUGACCCCCUGAGUGCCGCAGUUAACGCAUUAAGUACCCGCCUGGGACUACGGCCGCAAGGUUAAA
RNAcentral lists this ribosomal RNA (329 nucleotides) under uncultured bacterium. Its description in RNAcentral is "bacterial SSU rRNA". It matches the Rfam family "Bacterial small subunit ribosomal RNA", at positions 568 to 898 of the family's 1533-position model. The record is from RNAcentral.